This 564-nucleotide ribosomal RNA is filed under the name Enterobacteriaceae bacterium RF175. RNAcentral's name for it is "bacterial SSU rRNA". It matches the Rfam family "Bacterial small subunit ribosomal RNA", at positions 69 to 626 of the family's 1533-position model. Lineage: Bacteria; Pseudomonadati; Pseudomonadota; Gammaproteobacteria; Enterobacterales; Enterobacteriaceae. The record is from RNAcentral.
ACAGGAGCAGCUUGCUGCUUCGCUGACGAGUGGCGGACGGGUGAGUAAUGUCUGGGAAACUGCCCGAUGGAGGGGGAUAACUACUGGAAACGGUAGCUAAUACCGCAUAAUGUCGCAAGACCAAAGAGGGGGACCUUCGGGCCUCUUGCCAUCGGAUGUGCCCAGAUGGGAUUAGCUUGUUGGUGAGGUAACGGCUCACCAAGGCGACCAUCCCUAGCUGGUCUGAGAGGAUGACCAGCCACACUGGAACUGAAACACGGUCCAGACUCCUACCGGAGGCAGCAGUGGGGAAUAUUGCACAAUGGGCGCAAGCCUGAUGCAGCCAUGCCGCGUGUAUGAAGAAGGCCUUCGGGUUGUAAAGUACUUUCAGCGGGGAGGAAGGGGUUAAGGUUAAUAACCUUAGCCAUUGACGUUACCCGCAGAAGAAGCACCGGCUAACUCCGUGCCAGCAGCCGCGGUAAUACCGAGGGUGCAAGCGUUAAUCGGAAUUACUGGGCGUAAAGCGCACGCAGGCGGUCUGUCAAGUCGGAUGUGAAAUCCCCGGGCUCAACCUGGGAACUGCAU